AGGAGGGGCUGAGUAGGUUACCAGGCAGGGGAAGGGAGAUACCAGGAUGAUGGUUUUGGCCCAGGUGGUUUUACUGAGCUGGCAGGGGAGAUGCUACUACACUGUCAUUCAAGGUCAAGAAGAAAAGCAAGUAAAAGCCUGUUGUCUGACUGGCAGAAGCACAGAAAAGAGCCCUCCAGAGGUCAUUCACCUGAAUACAGAUUGAAGAAAUGCUUUCCCUACUUCAGCAUCAAAUUUCCAUUCGACAAGGAUGAGAAAUGCAUGAAACAAAGACUGUGUGACCACCCUGUGAUGACCCUACAGAUGGCAGCUGCUGGAACUCUGCUGAAACAGGCUAUUAAGGUAGUUUAGACCAGCUGAACAGACACUGAUAUAAUUUGGUGUGUCUAAUUUGUUAACAUCAUAUGCCAUUCUAAUACAAUCCACUACCCGCUGACAGAUGAUGCGAUAAGCAGGGUGACAGCAGCUCAAAACAUGGUUCUAUUGAAGACUAAUGUACCAAAUUUGAAUCCCACAAGGGAGAAAUCAUUCUUGCCAGUGGAAAAACUUGCAUUAAAUCUUUCUGUUAAUUCUUAGAGGAAAAUAGCAAAGAGCCCUACACUGGGAAGUGACAGGUUAGGAUUGCUCUCAAGUAGCUGUUGAUGGGUUUGUGUACACGCAUGAAAUCUAUGACAACAAUAAAUGGUCCAGAAUGAAUGCAGCAAUGAUUGGGAUGGAUGACAGUUCCUAGCUGUUGUAGUGAAGGGAGUUCUGCACCUAUAAAAAGCUAUUCCCUUCCAUUAACAUCAUCGGAGAGUUGAUAAAUAUAAAAAGGCCAAAGUGAGUUUGUCUCGCGUUUUGUCUUGCCUUCCUUACAACUCUAGGCAUUAAGAGAAAUGGAAGGAGGUUGACAAUGAAAUUAGACCCCUAUCUUGGAGAAGACUGGGUAAUUGUUGUUAAAAAGACAAUGGGUCCUCUAGGGUUGAUUACUUUUACAGUCCAUUUAUGUGAUGAUGUUUUCCUGCUCAUUUUUGGCUGUUGAGGAAAAGGUGCAGAGCUACAAGAGUGAUGUCAUGAUGAACCCAUGAGGACACUACACCAUGAUACAGGUGAUUUUUGUCCGGCUCCUAUCUAUGUAAUUAGGGACCUACCUAAA
This is a long non-coding RNA of Alligator sinensis (Chinese alligator), 1135 nucleotides long. RefSeq lists it as uncharacterized. Lineage: Eukaryota; Metazoa; Chordata; Crocodylia; Alligatoridae. The transcript has 3 exons. The record is from RefSeq and is a predicted model, not a curated record.